Molecule: ribosomal RNA, 496 nt
Filed under: uncultured bacterium
Lineage: Bacteria
Description: partial 16S ribosomal RNA
Rfam family: Bacterial small subunit ribosomal RNA
Source: RNAcentral
GAUGAACGCUGGCGGCGUGCCUAAUACAUGCAAGUCGAGCGAACGGACGAGAAGCUUGCUUCUCUGAUGUUAGCGGCGGACGGGUGAGUAACACGUGGAUAACCUACCUAUAAGACUGGGAUAACUUCGGGAAACCGGAGCUAAUACCGGAUAAUAUUUUGAACCGCAUGGUUCAAAAGUGAAAGACGGUCUUGCUGUCACUUAUAGAUGGAUCCGCGCUGCAUUAGCUAGUUGGUAAGGUAACGGCUUACCAAGGCAACGAUGCAUAGCCGACCUGAGAGGGGGAUGGCCCAAACGGGAACUGAGAAACGGCCCAGCCCCCUAGGGGGGGCAGCAGUGGGGAAUUUCCCGAAAGGGGGGAAAGCCGGAGGGAGCAACGCCGCGGGAGUGAUGAAGGUUUUGGGAUCGUAAACCUCUUUUUUUGGGGAAAAAAAUUUGUGAAAGUAACGGUGCACAUCUUGACGGUACCAAAUCAGAAAGCCACGGCUAACUACGU